Molecule: long non-coding RNA, 215 nt
Organism: Sebastes umbrosus (honeycomb rockfish)
Lineage: Eukaryota; Metazoa; Chordata; Actinopteri; Perciformes; Sebastidae
Exons: 3
Source: RefSeq, a predicted model, not a curated record
AACAUGACGGAGCAGCAUGGCGGCCUCAGUAAAGAGGACCCGGUCCCUAUGUAAAUAUAAACGACUCAUUCUAAGCUAACAAAAACACAACAAUUCUUACUUUCAGGUGAUUAUACACUAAAGAAAGCAUAGUUAUGAAUAUUAUAUUCCACUUCUGCUAAUAGAUCCCCCGAAAUGUUGCACUCUGUUCCUUUAAGUCAAUCCACAUUUUGUGG